AGGCUAAUGAGCCUUGCUUUGUUUUUAAGGGCCAAGAAACUUCAUCUAGAGCUGGCUAAGGUUCACCUGCAGGGCUAGAGAUUUCUGUUGUUCCUUCUAGGGUAAGACCGUGCAGACGACCCACCACCAGCAUUUGCCCAUUGUUUCCCAUUGGGAUCCAGCUUUGCUGAAUUUUUUGGGUGUUUCCAUAAAAGCUCAGUGUGGACACAUUCAGGAUGGCCUGAAAGAAAAUGGAGAAGUGCUUCCAAUGUUACUGAGCACACUUACAAAUAUCGUCCUGGGGCAGAAGAGUGAAGUCACUGCACGAACAAGGGAGCACAGACAGUUUAACCCUGCCAAGACUGCACAGCCCAGAAUAUCCAUAUAUCCAAAACAGAGCCUGGAUGGAGAUUCCUGAAUGUCCGCAAAAGCAGCAAAUAAAACAGCAGUAAUUCUUUCCAAUGACAUUUAUAUGCUGCUAUUAACUCUGCUUUAGCUGGUAUAGUUUAGGGCUUCUAGAAAACAUGACUUCAGAUGAAAUAACUACUGUAGGUUUCUGCUGAGAGGAGCUGCAAGUUUUGCCUGGACUCCUACACAGAUUGUCUGCCAUUUUUCAUUGUAUUCAAAAUCCUGGAGAGGAAGAGGUAUCCUAGAACCAAAAUUGAUAUUUUUAUGCCCUUAUGUCAUUCCCAGCAUUUUCUAGGCCUGAGGUUUUGCAUCUUUGCCAGAUGAAAAGAGAAAGAUAAGACCUCUUGCCCAGCUUGGGCAUGCUAUAA
This is a non-coding RNA of Zonotrichia albicollis (white-throated sparrow), 755 nucleotides long. The record is from RefSeq and is a predicted model, not a curated record. Lineage: Eukaryota; Metazoa; Chordata; Aves; Passeriformes; Passerellidae.